This 346-nucleotide ribosomal RNA is filed under the name Pantoea agglomerans. Its description in RNAcentral is "partial 23S ribosomal RNA". It matches the Rfam family "Bacterial large subunit ribosomal RNA", at positions 1 to 384 of the family's 2925-position model. The record is from RNAcentral. Lineage: Bacteria; Pseudomonadati; Pseudomonadota; Gammaproteobacteria; Enterobacterales; Erwiniaceae.
GGUUAAGCGACUAAGCGUACACGGUGGAUGCCCAGGCAGUCAGAGGCGAUGAAGGACGUGCUAAUCUGCGUAAAGCGACGGUAAGGUGAUAUGAACCGCUACAGCCGUCGAUGUCCGAAUGGGGAAACCCGGUGCACUCUGUGCAUCAUUGCAGCAUGAAUACAUAGUGCUGCAAGGCGAACCGGGGGAACUGAAACAUCUAAGUACCCCGAGGAAAAGAAAUCAACCGAGAUUCCCCCAGUAGCGGCGAGCGAACGGGGAGCAGCCCAGAGCCUGAAUCAGUUUGUGUGUUAGUGGAAGCGUCUGGAAAGUCGCAGGGUACAGGGUGAUACUCCCGUACACAAAA